ACUCCUGCGGGAGGCAGCAGUGGGGAAUUUUGGACAAUGGGCGAAAGCCUGAUCCAGCAAUGCCGCGUGUGUGAAGAAGGCCUUCGGGUUGUAAAGCACUUUUGUCCGGAAAGAAAUCCUUGGCUCUAAUACAGUCGGGGGAUGACGGUACCGGAAGAAUAAGCACCGGCUAACUACGUGCCAGCAGCCGCGGUAAUACGUAGGGUGCGAGCGUUAAUCGGAAUUACUGGGCGUAAAGCGUGCGCAGGCGGUUUGCUAAGACCGAUGUGAAAUCCCCGGGCUCAACCUGGGAACUGCAUUGGUGACUGGCAGGCUAGAGUAUGGCAGAGGGGGGUAGAAUUCCACGUGUAGCAGUGAAAUGCGUAGAGAUGUGGAGGAAUACCGAUGGCGAAGGCAGCCCCCUGGGCCAAUACUGACGCUCAUGCACGAAAGCGUGGGGAGCAAACAGGAUUAGAAACCCCGGUAGUCCCAUGAU
Molecule: ribosomal RNA, 475 nt
Filed under: uncultured organism
Description: partial 16S ribosomal RNA
Rfam family: Bacterial small subunit ribosomal RNA
Source: RNAcentral